GAUGAACGCUAGCGGCAGGCCUAACACAUGCAAGUCGAGGGGUAACAGGGGAGCUUGCUUCCGCUGACGACCGGCGCACGGGUGCGUAACGCGUAUGCAACCUACCUCUUACUGGGGAAUAGCCCGGAGAAAUCCGGAUUAAUAUCCCAUACGAUUGUUAAGACACAAGUCUCUACAAUUAAAGCUUCGGCGGUUAGGGAUGGGCAUGCGUCCUAUUAGUUUGUUGGUAAGGUAACGGCUUACCAAGACUACGAUAGGUAGGGGGCCUGAGAGGGGUAUCCCCCACACUGGUACUGAGACACGGACCAGACUCCUACGGGAGGCAGCAGUGAGGAAUAUUGGUCAAUGGACAAAAGUCUGAACCAGCCAUGCCGCGUGCAGGAUGAAUGCCCUACGGGUUGUAAACUGCUUUUAUAUAGGAAGAAACCCCCGAACGUGUUCGGGGCUGACGGUACUAUACGAAUAAGGACCGGCUAACUCCGUGCCAGCAGCCGCGGUAAUACGGAGGGUCCAAGCGUUAUCCGGAAUCAUUGGGUUUAAAGGGUCCGCAGGCGGACCAGUAAGUCAGUGGUGAAAUCCUGUAGCUUAACUACUGAACUGCCAUUGAAACUGACAGUCUUGAAUUCGGUCGAAGUGGGCGGAAUGUGUCAUGUAGCGGUGAAAUGCAUAGAUAUGACACAGAACACCGAUAGCGAAGGCAGCUCACUAGGCCUGAAUUGACGCUCAGGGACGAAAGCGUGGGGAGCGAACAGGAUUAGAUACCCUGGUAGUCCACGCCGUAAACUAUCAAUACUCGUUUUUGGCGAUAUACAGUCGGAGACUAAGCGAAAGUGAUAAGUAUUGCACCUGGGGAGUACGAUCGCAAGGUUGAAACUCAAAGGAAUUGACGGGGGCCCGCACAAGCGGUGGAGCAUGUGGUUUAAUUCGAUGAUACGCGAGGAACCUUACCAGGGCUUAAAUGUAUAGUGACAGGUGUGGAAACACAUCCUUCUUCGGACAAUUUGCAAGGUGCUGCAUGGUUGUCGUCAGCUCGUGCUGUGAGGUGUCGGGUUAAGUCCCAUAACGAGCGCAACCCCUAUUCUUAGUUGCCAGCGGAUAAUGCCGGGGACUCUAGGAAAACUGCCCGCGCAAGCGGAGAGGAAGGUGGGGACGACGUCAAAUCAUCACGGCCCUUACGUCCAGGGCUACACACGUGCUACAAUGGUCGGUACAAAGGGCAGCUACCUGGUGACAGGAUGCUAAUCCCUAAAGCCGAUCUCAGUUCGGAUUGGAGUCUGCAACUCGACUCCAUGAAGCUGGAAUCGCUAGUAAUCGCGCAUCAGCCAUGGCGCGGUGAAUACGUUCCCGGGCCUUGUACACACCGCCCGUCAAGCCAUGGAAGCCGGGGGUACCUGAAGUCAGUAACCGUAAGGAGCUGCCUAGGGUAAAACUGGUAACUAGGGCU
RNAcentral lists this ribosomal RNA (1444 nucleotides) under uncultured prokaryote. RNAcentral's name for it is "partial 16S ribosomal RNA". It matches the Rfam family "Bacterial small subunit ribosomal RNA". The record is from RNAcentral.